Molecule: Y RNA, 111 nt
Filed under: Propithecus coquereli (Coquerel's sifaka)
Lineage: Eukaryota; Metazoa; Chordata; Mammalia; Primates; Indriidae
Description: Y RNA (ENSPCOG00000004420.1)
Rfam family: Y RNA
About the family: Y RNAs are components of the Ro ribonucleoprotein particle (Ro RNP), in association with Ro60 and La proteins. The Y RNAs and Ro60 and La proteins are well conserved, but the function of the Ro RNP is not known.
Source: RNAcentral
AGCUGGUCCAAAAGUAGUAAAUUAUUUUAAUUGAUUGUUCACAGUCAGUUACAGAUUGAACUCCUUUUUCUACUCUUUCCUCUUCUCACUACUGCACCUUACUAGUGGAAA